This 514-nucleotide ribosomal RNA is filed under the name Variovorax sp. GNCB-16. Its description in RNAcentral is "bacterial SSU rRNA". It matches the Rfam family "Bacterial small subunit ribosomal RNA", at positions 372 to 879 of the family's 1533-position model. The record is from RNAcentral. Lineage: Bacteria; Pseudomonadati; Pseudomonadota; Betaproteobacteria; Burkholderiales; Comamonadaceae.
UGGGCGAAAGCCUGAUCCAGCCAUGCCGCGUGCAGGAUGAAGGCCUUCGGGUUGUAAACUGCUUUUGUACGGAACGAAACGGCCUUUUCUAAUAAAGAGGGCUAAUGACGGUACCGUAAGAAUAAGCACCGGCUAACUACGUGCCAGCAGCCGCGGUAAUACGUAGGGUGCAAGCGUUAAUCGGAAUUACUGGGCGUAAAGCGUGCGCAGGCGGUAAUGUAAGACAGUUGUGAAAUCCCCGGGCUCAACCUGGGAACUGCAUCUGUGACUGCAUUGCUGGAGUACGGUAGAGGGGGAUGGAAUUCCGCGUGUAGCAGUGAAAUGCGUAGAUAUGCGGAGGAACACCGAUGGCGAAGGCAAUCCCCUGGACCUGUACUGACGCUCAUGCACGAAAGCGUGGGGAGCAAACAGGAUUAGAUACCCUGGUAGUCCACGCCCUAAACGAUGUCAACUGGUUGUUGGGUCUUCACUGACUCAGUAACGAAGCUAACGCGUGAAGUUGACCGCCUGGGGA